Molecule: ribosomal RNA, 1880 nt
Filed under: Streptococcus pneumoniae
Lineage: Bacteria; Bacillati; Bacillota; Bacilli; Lactobacillales; Streptococcaceae
Description: partial 23S ribosomal RNA
Rfam family: Bacterial large subunit ribosomal RNA
Source: RNAcentral
GAACCUGAAACCGUGUGCUUACAAGUAGUCAGAGCCCGUUAAUGGGUGAUGGCGUGCCUUUUGUAGAAUGAACCGGCGAGUUACGAUUUGAUGCAAGGUUAAGCAGUAAAUGUGGAGCCGUAGCGAAAGCGAGUCUGAAUAGGGCGUUUAGUAUUUGGUCGUAGACCCGAAACCAGGUGAUCUACCCUUGGUCAGGUUGAAGUUCAGGUAACACUGAAUGGAGGACCGAACCGACUUACGUUGAAAAGUGAGCGGAUGAACUGAGGGUAGCGGAGAAAUUCCAAUCGAACCUGGAGAUAGCUGGUUCUCUCCGAAAUAGCUUUAGGGCUAGCCUCAAGUGAUGAUUAUUGGAGGUAGAGCACUGUUUGGACGAGGGGCCCCUCUCGGGUUACCGAAUUCAGACAAACUCCGAAUGCCAAUUAAUUUAACUUGGGAGUUAGAACAUGGGUGAUAAGGUCCGUGUUCGAAAGGGAAACAGCCCAGACCACCAGCUAAGGUCCCAAAAUAUAUGUUAAGUGGAAAAGGAUGUGGCGUUGCCCAGACAACUAGGAUGUUGGCUUAGAAGCAGCCAUCAUUUAAAGAGUGCGUAAUAGCUCACUAGUCGAGUGACACUGCGCCGAAAAUGUACCGGGGCUAAACAUAUUACCGAAGCUGUGGAUUGUCCUUUGGACAAUGGUAGGAGAGCGUUCUAAGGGCGUUGAAGCAUGAUCGUAAGGACAUGUGGAGCGCUUAGAAGUGAGAAUGCCGGUGUGAGUAGCGAAAGACGGGUGAGAAUCCCGUCCACCGAUUGACUAAGGUUUCCAGAGGAAGGCUCGUCCGCUCUGGGUUAGUCGGGUCCUAAGCUGAGGCCGACAGGCGUAGGCGAUGGAUAACAGGUUGAUAUUCCUGUACCACCUAUAAUCGUUUUAAUCGAUGGGGGGGACGCAGUAGGAUAGGCGAAGCGUGCGAUUGGAUUGCACGUCUAAGCAGUAAGGCUGAGUAUUAGGCAAAUCCGGUACUCGUUAAGGCUGAGCUGUGAUGGGGAGAAGACAUUGUGUCUUCGAGUCGUUGAUUUCACACUGCCGAGAAAAGCCUCUAGAUAGAAAAUAGGUGCCCGUACCGCAAACCGACACAGGUAGUCAAGAUGAGAAUUCUAAGGUGAGCGAGCGAACUCUCGUUAAGGAACUCGGCAAAAUGACCCCGUAACUUCGGGAGAAGGGGUGCUCUUUAGGGUUAACGCCCAGAAGAGCCGCAGUGAAUAGGCCCAAGCGACUGUUUAUCAAAAACACAGGUCUCUGCUAAACCGUAAGGUGAUGUAUAGGGGCUGACGCCUGCCCGGUGCUGGAAGGUUAAGAGGAGUGGUUAGCUUCUGCGAAGCUACGAAUCGAAGCCCCAGUAAACGGCGGCCGUAACUAUAACGGUCCUAAGGUAGCGAAAUUCCUUGUCGGGUAAGUUCCGACCCGCACGAAAGGCGUAACGAUUUGGGCACUGUCUCAACGAGAGACUCGGUGAAAUCAUAGUACCUGUGAAGAUGCAGGUUACCCGCGACAGGACGGAAAGACCCCGUGGAGCUUUACUGUAGCCUGAUAUUGAAAUUCGGCACAGCUUGUACAGGAUAGGUAGGAGCCUUUGAAACGUGAGCGCUAGCUUACGUGGAGGCGCUGGUGGGAUACUACCCUAGCUGUGUUGGCUUUCUAACCCGCACCACUUAUCGUGGUGGGAGACAGUGUCAGGCGGGCAGUUUGACUGGGGCGGUCGCCUCCUAAAAGGUAACGGAGGCGCUCAAAGGUUCCCUCAGAAUGGUUGGAAAUCAUUCAUAGAGUGUAAAGGCAUAAGGGAGCUUGACUGCGAGACCUACAAGUCGAGCAGGGUCGAAAGACGGACUUAGUGAUCCGGUGGUU